AGACAAAUAAAGUCAUCUGAGAAAGCCAGGGCCCAAGGAUGCGUCUGGACACAGCAGUAGGCUCUCCCGCUCCUCCCCAGCCAGGGACCUCGUCCCCACGCCGGGAGGAUGACGCGAGCAUCCCUGGAUCAUGGCUCUGCGAGGGGGGACCAUGGCUGACUCAUCUCUGAAGCCUCAGCACCUGGGAGAAAGGGCAGCGUGGAGGGAGUUCCCCGAUGCUUCAAUUUCCUGUCAUGUGUUUCCCAUUUAUCUUUGGAAUUCUUUGAAAUGUGUUGGAAUUCCUGCACAGAGACUGUUUCUCUUUAUCACUUUAGGUAAAGGAUAUCCAGCCAUUGUAAAGUGUGCCCAAAUCAUAUUAACCCUUGGAGGAGUGCCCUGGAUGAGGCUGCCAUGACCGAGCGGCACAAGCUGAGUGGCUUAGGGCAACAGAAGUGUCUUCUCUCAGCUCUGGGGGCCAGAAGCCUGAGAGCAAGGUGUUGGCCGGCCCUGCUCUCUUCGAAGGCUCCAGGGGAGAACUGUUGCAUGCUGCUCUCUCAGCCCUACUGUCACAGCAGGCCAUCUUUGCCUUUCUUUGCAAUGUCUGCCUCCAUUGUCACAUGGCGUCCCCUGUGUCUUUACACUGUCUCCUUUCUGGCAUGUCUGUCUUCACGUGACAUGUGUGUAUCUCUCUCUGUGCCUCUUCUCCUUUUUUUUUUAAGAAGGCCACCAGUCAUACUGGAUUAAGGGCCUCCUUUACCCUAGUAUGGCCUGAUCUGAACGUGCAUCUUAAUCACAUCUGCAGAGACCCCUUUCCAAAUAAGGUCACGUCCACGGGUACCAGGGGUCAGGGCCUCGACAUCUCUUUUGGAGACACAACUCAACCCACAAGAACCCUGGACAAGCUGCUUCCCCUUGCAGAGCCUCAGUUUCCAUAUGUGUAAACUGGGAAUAAUUGGACCCACCUGCCCGAGGUCUGGUGGGGACGCAAUGAGACAACGCAUGGGCUUGAGCUUAGCGAGACUUCACGUCUGACCUUCACCCUGUCUUUCUCUGCCUGCUCAGCCUCCUUCCCAGCUGUUUAAGGUAGAAAACCUGGACAACGAAGGACAUCCCAGCAGGCAGGACUUUGUUCGGCAGAGGCCAAAUCCAAGGACAACAGUCUAUCUCACAGAGCCUGCCUCCUCCCAACUGGGGGCUCUUCCUGGUGGUUCGAGCCUCUGCUGAACUUACUUUGCUCUAUGUAGGAUCCAGGGGCUGGACUUGGUCAACUGAUGAGUAAAAAUUCCGGGUGAUUCUAGGACAGCAGGCCGAGAUGUGUGUCCCUGGCUGGUUCGCCCCCCUGUCAUGAGCAGUUACGUUUUUCCAUGGUCAAAACAAAUAAAUACAUGAAAAGUGCCUAAAACCUAUAGGGAAUCAAGUUUCCAAAACUGUGCUCUUGUGGCUGACUUCUGAAUCAUAGUUUAGUAAUUAAGAGGAGAAAAGAGCAAGUUGGACCUGGCAACAGAAUAUAAAUUGUACCUCUGUAAAGGUCACAUACGAGUUGUGAUUAACCACACGAGUCAUACGUUGUCCUGGGUAAAACAAUACUGGGUUUUAAGCCUAUUUAGAGGAUUCCACAGCCCUCCCCCGACCCCCUUCCUCGCAGAAGUUCACGGUUGGAAUCUGACGCGAAGUGGGGUUUUCUUUUAUUUUUUUUCCUUUCGGUCUGAGAUGAUUUCCAUACACUGUGGUUUGGCAGUCUGCACUUGAGCGAUGCUAUAGCAUUAUCAGGGUGCCGACAGCUGCUCUAGAAUAAACAAGCGGUGAUGCAUUGAGCUGGCAAGUCCAUAUGGUUUGGAAAAGAAAAUGAAAUAAAAUAAAAACAUUUGUUAUCAUUUUGGGGAGUUUUUGAACCCAACCAGCUUCAGCACCACUCUAAUGCCUUGCAUGAGUUUGCUUAAAAAAUAAAAUAAAAUGAAUAAUUA
RNAcentral lists this long non-coding RNA (1943 nucleotides) under Sus scrofa (pig). Its description in RNAcentral is "lncRNA (ENSSSCG00060027162.1)". Lineage: Eukaryota; Metazoa; Chordata; Mammalia; Artiodactyla; Suidae. The record is from RNAcentral.